This 84-nucleotide transfer RNA is filed under the name Nitrososphaera viennensis EN76. RNAcentral's name for it is "tRNA-Ser (CGA) (tRNA-Ser-CGA-1-1)". It matches the Rfam family "tRNA". Rfam says of the family: Transfer RNA (tRNA) molecules are approximately 80 nucleotides in length. Their secondary structure includes four short double-helical elements and three loops (D, anti-codon, and T loops). RNAcentral also lists the same sequence under 4 other names. The record is from RNAcentral. Lineage: Archaea; Thermoproteati; Nitrososphaerota; Nitrososphaeria; Nitrososphaerales; Nitrososphaeraceae.
GCUGAGGUACCCAAGCUAGGUACGGGGUCAGCCUCGAGAGCUGAUGUCCUUCGGGACUCGUGGGUUCGAGUCCCACCCUCAGCG